Molecule: ribosomal RNA, 431 nt
Filed under: uncultured bacterium
Lineage: Bacteria
Description: partial 16S ribosomal RNA
Rfam family: Bacterial small subunit ribosomal RNA
Source: RNAcentral
CGAACGCUGGCGGCAUGCCUAACACAUGCAAGUCGAACGAGACCUUCGGGUCUAGUGGCGCACGGGUGCGUAACGCGUGGGAACCUGCCCUUAGGUUCGGAAUAACUCCCCGAAAGGGGUGCUAAUACCGGAUAAUGUCUUCGGACCAAAGAUUUAUCGCCUUUGGAUGGGCCCGCGUUGGAUUAGCUAGUUGGUAGGGUAAAAGCCUACCAAGGCGACGAUCCAUAGCUGGACUGAGAGGAUGAUCAGCCACACUGGGACUGAGACACGGCCCAGACUCCUACGGGAGGCAGCAGUGGGGAAUAUUGGACAAUGGGCGAAAGCCUGAUCCAGCAAUGCCGCGUGAGUGAUGAAGGCCUUAGGGUUGUAAAGCUCUUUUACCCGGGAUGAUAAUGACAGUACCGGGAGAAUAAGCUCCGGCUAACUCCGUG